Bufo bufo (common toad) is the source of this 162-nucleotide long non-coding RNA. RefSeq lists it as uncharacterized. NCBI's taxonomy places the organism in Eukaryota, Metazoa, Chordata, Amphibia, Anura, Bufonidae. The record is from RefSeq and is a predicted model, not a curated record. The transcript has 3 exons.
GCAGAAGUUAUAUCUGAAGUCUACGCCAGCCUGUAGCUGGCAUAGACUUCAGUUUCUGAUGCACAGCAGGGUAGUGAUGCACUUGAUUUGUUAAGAGGCUUCUGCUUCUUAACAAAUCAGGCUCAUCUCACGCCAGCGCAGGGAUAUUAAGAGGACCUUUCA